Molecule: ribosomal RNA, 513 nt
Filed under: uncultured bacterium
Lineage: Bacteria
Description: partial 16S ribosomal RNA
Rfam family: Bacterial small subunit ribosomal RNA
Source: RNAcentral
GACGAACGCUGGCGGCGUGCCUAAUACAUGCAAGUCGAGCGAAUCUUGAGGUGCUUGCACCUCUUGGUUAGCGGCGGACGGGUGAGUAACACGUGGGCAGCCUGCCUGUAAGACUGGGAUAACUUCGGGAAACCGGAGCUAAUACCGGAUAAUCCUUUUCCUUUCAUGAGGAAAAGCUGAAAGUCGGUUUUUCGCUGACACUUACAGAUGGGCCCGCGGCGCAUUAGCUAGUUGGUGAGGUAACGGCUCACCAAGGCGACGAUGCGUAGCCGACCUGAGAGGGUGAUCGGCCACACUGGGACUGAGACACGGCCCAGACUCCUACGGGGGGCAGCAGUAGGGAAUCUUCCGCAAUGGACGAAAGUCUGACGGAGCAACGCCGCGUGAGCGAUGAAGGCCUUCGGGUCGUAAAGCUCUGUUGUUAGGGAAGAACAAGUAUCGGAGUAACUGCCGGUACCUUGACGGUACCUAACCAGAAAGCCACGGCUAACUACGUGCCAGCCGCCGCGGUAA